UGGGGAAUAUUGCACAAUGGAGGGAACUCUGAUGCAGCGACGCCGCGUGAGUGAUGAAGGAAUUCGUUUCGUAAAACUCUGUUCUAUGGGAAGAAAAGGACUGUACCAUAGGAGAAAGCUCCGGCUAAAUACGUGCCAGCAGCCGCGGUAAUACGUAUGGAGCGAGCGUUGUCCGGAAUUAUUGGGCGUAAAGGGUGCGCAGGCGGCUUUACAAGUUGGAUGUGAAAUAUUGUGGCUCAACCACAAACGUGCAUCCAAAACUGCAAAGCUUGAGUUAAGGAGAGGUAAGUGGAAUUCCUGGUGUAGCGGUGGAAUGCGUAGAUAUCAGGAGGUAUACCGGUGGCGAAGGCGACUUACUGGACUUAAACUGACGCUCAGGCACGAAAGCGUGGGGAGCAAACAGG
Molecule: ribosomal RNA, 404 nt
Filed under: Fusobacteriota bacterium
Lineage: Bacteria; Fusobacteriati; Fusobacteriota
Description: Fusobacteria bacterium partial 16S ribosomal RNA
Rfam family: Bacterial small subunit ribosomal RNA
Source: RNAcentral